Long non-coding RNA from Oncorhynchus mykiss (rainbow trout), 484 nucleotides. RefSeq lists it as uncharacterized. The record is from RefSeq and is a predicted model, not a curated record. NCBI's taxonomy places the organism in Eukaryota, Metazoa, Chordata, Actinopteri, Salmoniformes, Salmonidae.
UACAUAAAGAGAAUACUUCAAAAUGAGAAGGUCCUGCCAUGGAAAAGAUGACUGGGUGGACAUAAAGUGGAAAGGAGGGGAAAUAACUCCCAGCAUGCAGCAGGACACCUUCAGCUGCGGGGUCUUUGUAAUGCAGAGUUCCACAAAGCCAACAACCGCUUCAUGUGUGCCACUGAUAAAGAACCUGGAUGUGGCCCAAAGACUGACUGGAUUGAAUGUUUUGCAUGCCAAUGGUGGUUCCAUGUGCUGUGCCUAGGAAUGAAGACAAGUUCAACAGAGUAAAGAACACAAACAGGAAGUGCAGUCUUUGUUGUUGGAGAAUGUAUGCAUUACCCCAUCCACACUGAAGAGGCUCUGACAUGUACAACAACCAGGGAUAAAGAGAAAGUUAACACGGUGAAAUGUUUCAUAUUUAAUUAAACUUAAGUGUCUGACAUGUUGGGAAAGAUUAAAGGUCUACAAUUUGUUUAAUUUGUCAAUAUUA